Molecule: RNA transcript, 3781 nt
Organism: Cannabis sativa
Lineage: Eukaryota; Viridiplantae; Streptophyta; Magnoliopsida; Rosales; Cannabaceae
Gene name: pentatricopeptide repeat-containing protein At1g05670, mitochondrial
Exons: 5
Source: RefSeq, a predicted model, not a curated record
AUAAUUUUCCAAUCUAAUUUUGUCAACAAAAAAUUACACUCAUUUACACUAACACAGUACACACACCUAAAGGCAGCAGCAGCCAACCCCUCUCUCUCUCUCUCUCUCUCUCUCUCUCUCUCUCUCUCUCUCUCUCCACCAUCCCUAACCCAAAACACAGCAGCCCCUUCGCACUCCUUCCGAUUCCAGGCGCAGCCACUGUAAGCGCCUAUUAUAAUCUCGGCCUCGCCUCCAACCACCAGUCGCAGCCACCAUUCCUCACUCUUAGGCAAAAAAAAUUUAAAGUCAAGGAAGUAGGAAAAGAGAAGAGCAAGAUAACUAUUGCUGCUAUUGAAGAUUAAAUAAGUGAUGGAAUAAUGUGAAAACUUCUUUGUUUUUGUUCUUAUCAAUGGUGGAGAGCAGCUACAUUGGAGGUAAGCAAUCUUAAAAUUUUCCUUGAUGGAUGCCUCUCACAGACAUGAAGAGGCUCACUAUAUUUUCGGUCCACUGUUCCCGAAUCUUUUCUCUUCAGCCUUGCUUAAGUUUUGGAUUUUAUUUCUCUCCUUUAUUCUCAUUGAGAAGAAACUUGAGCCAAGUACUCUCAGUAAUCUCAACAAAUACCAGACCUUUCCCUGAUUAUUCACCUAAGAAACCUACUAUCAGAGAUGCUGAACUUGUUCAUCAUAUUACUACCACAAUAAAGCUGCGUCGCUCUGAGCCUUUGCGUCGCAUCUUGAAGUCUUGUGAAUCUAAGUUCAGGUCUGACCAUCUAAUUUGGAUUCUUAUGAACAUUAGGAAUGAUUAUAAUUUAGUUUUGGAUCUAUUUGAUUGGGCAUGUCUUCGUAGACAAUCAACACUAGAGGCUCGUUGCAUUGUUGCUCAAAUUGCCACAGCAUCAAAAGAUCUUAAAAUGGCACAUGGGGUUAUUAUUGAUUUUUGGAGAAAACCCAAUUUGGAUAUUAGUCUUUCAUUCAUUCAUUUUUCCGAUAGAUUAAUAUACACAUACAAAGAUUGGGGUUCAGAUCCAUAUGUAUUUGAUAUUUUUUUCCAAGUGCUUGUCGAAAUUGGGAUGCUCAAUGAAGCGAGAAAACUUUUCAUGAAAUUGUUGAAUUAUGGAUUGGUUAUAUCUGUUGAUUCUUGUAAUUUAUUUCUUACUCGUCUAUCAAACAAUCUUGAUGGAAUUGAGAUGGCAAUAAAAGUUUUCAAUGAAUAUCCUCAAGUGGGUAUUUGCUGGAAUACUGCAUCAUAUAAUAUCAUUAUUAAUUCACUUUGUGAAUUAGGAAAAAUCAAAGAAGCCCACCAUCUACUCUUGCAGAUGGAGUUGAGAGGCUGUGUACCUGAUGUUGUAAGUUAUAGUACUAUAAUUAGCAGAUACUGUUCUGUUGGUGACCUACAGAAGGUGUUGAAGCUCGUUGAAGAAAUGAAAAUAAAAAGUGUCCAACCAAACUUGUAUACCUACAGCAGCAUUGUACUUCUUUUGUGUAAGAGUGGAAAACUCUCUGAAGCCGAGAAGGUCUUGAGGGAAAUAAUGUCGCAGGGAAUCAUUCCUGAUAAUGUGAUAUACACUACCUUAAUAGAUGGUUUCUGCAAGUCAGGCAAUGUUUCAGCUGCAUGCAGGUUGUUCGAGGAAAUGCAGAUUAGGGAAAUUUAUCCUGAUUCUGUAGCAUAUACAGCUAUCAUAGAUGGAUUUUGUCAAGCUGGAAAGAUGAUGGAAGCCGAUAAGCUUUUUAAUGAAAUGGUUAUUAGAGGGUUGGAACCAGAUGAAUUUUCUUAUACAGCGCUUAUCCAUGGUUAUUGCAAAGUAAGUGAGAUUAAAAGAGCUUUCGGUCUUCACAAUGAGAUGGUCAAAAUGGGACUUAAGCCAAACAUUGUCACGUACACUGCACUGGCUGAUGGCCUUUGUAAACAAGGAGAGGUAGAUACUGCAAAUGAACUACUCCAAGAAAUGUCCAUGAAAGGUCUUCAACUGAAUGUCUGCACUUACAACUCAAUUCUUAAUGGACUUUGUAAAUCAGGAAACAUAGUAGAUGCAGAGAAAUUAAUGGAAGAAUUAAAGGUGGCUGGGCCACAUCCUGAUGCAUUUACUUAUACUACUCUCAUGGAUGCAUAUUGCAAGACAGGGAAGAUGUCUAAAGCCCACAUGCUCUUGCAAGAGAUGUUGGAUAGUGGGAUUCAACCUACUGUUGUUACAUUCAAUGUGCUAAUGAAUGGCUUUUGCAUGUCUGGAAUGUUGGAAGAUGGUAAUAAACUAAUUAAAUGGAUGUUGGAUAAGGGUAUAAUGCCUAAUGCCACAACCUAUAAUUCUCUUAUGAAGCAGUACGCCAGCAGAAAUAACAUGAGUUACACAACUGAGAUUUAUAGGAACAUGUGUGCACAAGGAGUGAUGCCCGAUAGCAAUACCUAUAACAUUUUAAUAAAGGGACAUUGUAAAGCAAGGAAUAUGAAAGAGGCUGAGUUUUUGAGAAGGGAAAUGAUUGAGAAGGGUUUUCUUCUUACAGCGAGUUCAUACACUGCUUUAAUAAAGGGUUUUCAAAAGAGAAAGAAAAUUGAAGAGGCAAGGAAACUAUUUGAAGAAAUGAGGAGGCAAGGUUUGGUUGCAGAUAGAGAAAUAUAUGAAAUUUUUGUUGAUAUGAACUAUAAAGAAGGAAACAUGGAUGUAACUCUUGAACUUUGUGAUGAAAUGAUCGAGAAUUAUAUAGUGGAUAGGACCAAGAACAGCAGGACCUAGAUUGAUUUGUCUAUUGUGACGUUUGAGCUUUCCUUCUGUAUUUACUAUCUGUCGAUAUGAAUUAGCUCGCAUCUAGGCCUAUGGCACUGGCCAAAAUCUAUUGAAAAGCAUGGAAGAUCAUCAUAUGCCAUAUUUCAUGGAAGAGUAUGUAAGUCUGAGCCUUGAACGGCUACAUGUUCAGGGCACAAGAAGUACCCUUGAAAUCUCAGAAACUCUUGUUUUUUGAAAAGGAAGACAAUUAUCUUUCUGCAUCACUAUCAACAUAAGACAUUAUCAUAGAAGGAAAGUUGGUGAGGUUGGAGGAUGUGUCAAAGUGGGCAAGAACAUCCAGUUAACAGCCCAAAAUGGCAAAAAGCAACAUAGUCAUCAAGCGGAAAUCUUAGAGCAAGAGCAGAUGGGUGUCACUAAUGCUUUGAUUAAAUGGUAUAUUAUAGUUUGCUAAAAAUAGCCACGAGAUAAUGCAGCAGACCUAAGAUGAAAGAUAUAUUAGUUUAGUCAAAAGAAACGUUGUCCUCAUGCCUAAGAUGAAAUAUGCCUUCAUAAAUAGGUUAGCCACAGUUUUCACCCUUGGUAAUUUAUAUCCAUCUCUUCAUAUUGUUUCUGUGUUAUUAACCUUCUUAGGAGUAAGUUGAGAUUGAGAAUCAACUUUCUCAGGAAACAACAUGAAGUAUGUUUGAGUUUCAAGUACCUCUCUUCUAUCUGCACAAAUGAAGUAGAGAGUCUUUGUGAAAUAAAGCUACAAAAAUGCCAUGGAUUUCUUCAUCACAGAGCCCAUAUUUCUGGCUGUAAUUCUUCUGACUAGGGAUUACUUUAGGAAAAUCCAAGGGUCAUUUUCAAGCUAUUGCCCAUCAUGACAUACAAGUUACCAUCUCUGGGUCUUAACAGUAUUUAUCAAAAUUAGUUAGGAUAAGAGGUUGGUUAGUUGGUAGUUAGGAGGUUUUGUAUGAGCUAUUAUAUAUUUAGUUGGGAAUGUUGUUAAUCUAUUGUAACUAACUCUAAGCUACUGUAUGUAGCUGCAUUUUAUUGUAAUUCUAUUUUGAUUGAUUCAAUACAAAAUAUAGAAUUCUUUCUCUA